UACGGAAGGUGCAAGCGUUAAUCGGAAUUACUGGGCGUAAAGCGCACGCAGGCGGCUUGUUAAGUCGGAUGUGAAAGCCCCGGGCUCAACCUGGGAAUUGCAUUCGAUACUGGCAAGCUAAAGUAUGUGAGAGGGGGGUAGAAUUCCAAGUGUGGCGGUGAAAUGCGUAGAGAUUUGGAGGAAUACCAGUGGCGAAGGCGGCCCCCUGGCACACUACUGACGCUCAGGUGCGAAAGCGUGGGGGGCAAACAGG
Molecule: ribosomal RNA, 253 nt
Filed under: uncultured bacterium
Lineage: Bacteria
Description: partial 16S ribosomal RNA
Rfam family: Bacterial small subunit ribosomal RNA
Source: RNAcentral